GUGGGGAAUAUUGCGCAAUGGGCGAAAGCCUGACGCAGCGACGCCGCGUGAGGGACGAAGGUCUUCGGAUUGUAAACCUCUUUCAGCAGGGACGAAGCGAAAGUGACUGUACCUGCAGAAGAAGCACCGGCUAACUACGUGCCAGCAGCCGCGGUAAUACGUAGGGUGCAAGCGUUGUCCGGAUUUAUUGGGCGUAAAGAGCUCGUAGGCGGUUUGUCGCGUCGGAUGUGAAAACCCAAUGGCUUAACCUUGGGCCUGCAUUCGAUACGGGCAAACUAGAGUGUGGUAGGGGAGACUGGAACUCCUGGUGUAGCGGUGGAAUGCGCAGAUAUCAGGAAGAACACCGAUGGCGAAGGCAGGUCUCUGGGCCAUAACUGACGCUGAGGAGCGAAAGCGUGGGGAGCGAACAGGAUUAGAAACCCCAGUAGUCC
This 431-nucleotide ribosomal RNA is filed under the name uncultured bacterium. RNAcentral's name for it is "bacterial SSU rRNA". It matches the Rfam family "Bacterial small subunit ribosomal RNA", at positions 354 to 796 of the family's 1533-position model. The record is from RNAcentral.